UACGGGGGGAGCAAGCGUUGUUCGGAUUUACUGGGCGUAAAGGGCGCGUAGGCGGCAUGGUAAGUUACUUGUGAAAUCUCUGGGCUUAACUCGGAGCGGCCAAGUAAUACUGCCGUGCUAGAGUGUGGAAGGGGCAACUGGAAUUCUCGGUGUAGCGGUGAAAUGCGUAGAUAUCGAGAGGAACACCUGCGGCGAAGGCGGGUUGCUGGGCCAACACUGACGCUGAGGCGCGAAAGCCAGGGGAGCGAACGGG
This 253-nucleotide ribosomal RNA is filed under the name uncultured bacterium. RNAcentral describes it as "partial 16S ribosomal RNA". It matches the Rfam family "Bacterial small subunit ribosomal RNA", at positions 524 to 776 of the family's 1533-position model. The record is from RNAcentral.